RNAcentral lists this small RNA (73 nucleotides) under Flavobacterium omnivorum. RNAcentral's name for it is "Flavo-1 RNA". It matches the Rfam family "Flavo-1 RNA". The record is from RNAcentral. Lineage: Bacteria; Pseudomonadati; Bacteroidota; Flavobacteriia; Flavobacteriales; Flavobacteriaceae.
GAAUAGCUCCGAUUGCAGUGGAAAUCCUCCCGAUUUUUUUUUCGGGAGCUUGCAACGGAAAGCGGGAGUAGAG